Molecule: long non-coding RNA, 828 nt
Filed under: Canis lupus familiaris (dog)
Lineage: Eukaryota; Metazoa; Chordata; Mammalia; Carnivora; Canidae
Description: lncRNA (ENSCAFG00000052800.1)
Source: RNAcentral
GGCAUCCUUAGUCCACAUCAACCAAGGUGGUAUAAAAACAGCACUGCACUUGGUUUGCAUUCUGUGCCCUGAAGCAGAAAUGCCUUUAAUUGUUCAUUGUGAAAUAAACAGAUGUCUACUGGAGAAGAUUAUUAAAAACAUUUUGUGCACUUUGGGAGAACUAGAGGUCAGGACUGCUUGACCUAGCAUCUCAAAGGAAACCCAAGCCAACCCAGCUACCAAGGUGAACAAGGAAGAUGGUGGUCCUAUGAGCAACAGCAGCCAGUGGCCUGGCACUGCACCCUGCGAGGCAGCCAAGACCAAGGGCGGUCUGAAUCCAGACAGGUAAAGGACUGAAGCGCCUGGAAACCGAUGUCUUGUAAUACCUGUGCGGCCGAGCGAUGUCCGCAGUUGAAGUUGAAAUUUUAAACCUUCUGUGCGCAGCGGGAGCGCAGUGGGCCGACCUCCUAGGCCCGCGCUUCGGUGCUGGGGGCGCGCCCUCCCCGCCCCCCGAAGAACCCUGUGCCCGGGAAUGGGAAAGCCUCCUCUCCUCGCCUCCGACGCGCAGCGCCGGGCCCCUUUCCUCCCGGGGAGGUGGAUUCCAGGGCACCGCAGACUCCUCCCCAGGUAGGGCAGCUCCCGGGGAGGCGCAGGGGAGCGCGCGCUCACGGCAGGGACCCCGGGCGGGGUCGGCAACCGGAGACACAGGUGCGAAGUUCUGCCUUCCGCCGCCGACCUCCCUUCCUUGAACCUGCUCCUCGUCUCCCAUCCCCCACCAGGUAGCAGCAUCCGCUGCUCGGGGCAGCGCAGCUCGGCUCCGGAACCCUGCGACCCGGCGGCACAGCUGGA